CACAAAUUGCAGGCCCUUCUGAAAGUUCGUUGCUCGGGUUUUUUAUUCGUUUGACUUUCUGCCAUUCUAUUAAAAACCGAUUGGAUCUGGGAUGGGAAAAAGUUCUGGAAUAUGUCAAAAAGUCAGCCGUUACUCGGGUUUCAGCCAAAAGAGAUUGACGUCAAGAGUAUAGAUAGAUGCAUGACUUUUUGCUUACAAAAAAUCUACUUCAUUGUUCGUGCAAAAAAUAUUGUAAAC
Molecule: long non-coding RNA, 237 nt
Filed under: Drosophila guanche
Lineage: Eukaryota; Metazoa; Arthropoda; Insecta; Diptera; Drosophilidae
Source: RNAcentral